This 254-nucleotide ribosomal RNA is filed under the name uncultured bacterium. RNAcentral's name for it is "partial 16S ribosomal RNA". It matches the Rfam family "Bacterial small subunit ribosomal RNA", at positions 524 to 776 of the family's 1533-position model. The record is from RNAcentral.
UACGUAGGGGGCAAGCGUUGUCCGGAAUCAUUGGGCGUAAAGCGCGCGUAGGCGGCCCGGUAAGUCCGUUGUGAAAGUCAAAGGCUCAACCUUUGAACGCCGAUGGAUACUGCCGGGCUAGAGUCCGGAAGAGGCGAGUGGAAUUCCUGGUGGUAGCGGUGGAAUGCGCAGAUAUCAGGAGGAACACCAAUAGCGAAGGCAGCUCGCUGGGACGGUACUGACGCUGAGGCGCGAAAGCGUGGGGAGCGAACAGG